Molecule: ribosomal RNA, 459 nt
Filed under: uncultured bacterium
Lineage: Bacteria
Description: partial 16S ribosomal RNA
Rfam family: Bacterial small subunit ribosomal RNA
Source: RNAcentral
CCUACGGGGGGCAGCAGUGAGGAAUAUUGGUCAAUGGGCGCGACCCUGAACCAGCCAAGCCGCGUGAGUGAAGACGGUCCUAUGGAUUGUAAACCUCUUCUGCCGGGGAGCAAAAGACGCCACGCGUGGCGUUCCGAGAGUACCCGAAGAACAAGCAUCGGCUAACUCCGUGCCAGCAGCCGCGGUAAUACGGAGGAUGCGAGCGUUAUCCGGAUUUAUUGGGGUUAAAGGGGGCGCAGGCGGAAGAUCAAGUCAGCGGUAAAAGUGAGAGGCUCAACCUCUUCGAGCCGUUGAAACUGGUUGUCUUGAGUGAGUGAGAGGUAUGCGGAAUGCGUGGUGUAGCGGUGAAAUGCGUAGAUAUCACGCAGAACUCCGAUUGCGAAGGCAGCAUACCGGCGCUCAACUGACGCUCAUGCACGAAAGUGUGGGUAUCGAACAGGAUUAGAUACCCUGGUAGUC